CCCGCUGAACUUAAGCAUAUCAAUAAGCGGAGGAAAAGAAACUAACAAGGAUUCCCCUAGUAACUGCGAGUGAAGCGGGAAAAGCUCAAAUUUAAAAUCUGGCAGUUUUUGACUGUCCGAGUUGUAAUCUAGAGAAGUGUUACCUGUGCUGGACCAUGUACAAGUCUUCUGGAAUGGAGCAUCAUAGAGGGUGAGAAUCCCGUCUUUGACAUGGACUACCUGUACACUAUGGUGCGCUCUCAAGGAGUCGAGUUGUUUGGGAAUGCAGCUCAAAAUGGGUGGUAAAUGCCAUCUAAAGCUAAAUAUUGGCGAGAGACCGAUAGCGAACAAGUACCGUGAGGGAAAGAUGAAAAGAACUUUGGAAAGAGAGUUAAACAGUACGUGAAAUUGCUGAAAGGGAAACGCUUGAAGUCAGUCGCAUUGGCUAGAAAUCAGCUGUGCUUUUGCUCAGUGUACUUUCUGGUCGAUGGGUCAGCAUCAAUUUUGACCAUCGGAUAAAGUUGCUGGGAAUGUAGCAUCCUUUUGGAUGUGUUAUAGCCUGGUGAUGCAUACAGUGGUUGGGAUUGAGGAAUUCAGCACGCCACCAGGCCGGGUUUUGACCACGUUCGUGCUUAGGAUGCUGGCAUAAUGGCUUUAAUUGACCCGUCUUGAAACACGG
RNAcentral lists this ribosomal RNA (658 nucleotides) under uncultured fungus. Its description in RNAcentral is "eukaryotic LSU rRNA". It matches the Rfam family "Eukaryotic large subunit ribosomal RNA", at positions 24 to 664 of the family's 3401-position model. The record is from RNAcentral. Lineage: Eukaryota; Fungi.